Molecule: ribosomal RNA, 483 nt
Filed under: uncultured bacterium
Lineage: Bacteria
Description: partial 16S ribosomal RNA
Rfam family: Bacterial small subunit ribosomal RNA
Source: RNAcentral
GACGAACGCUGGCGGCGUGCUUAACACAUGCAAGUCGAACGCUGAAGCUCAGCUUUUGUUGGGUGGAUGAGUGGCGAACGGGUGAGUAACACGUGAGUAACCUGCCUCCUUCUUUGGGAUAACGCCCGGAAACGGGUGCUAAUACUGGAUAUUCACUGGUCUUCGCAUGGGGGUUGGUGGAAAGGGUUUUUCUGGUGGGGGAUGGGCUCGCGGCCUAUCAGCUUGUUGGUGGGGUGAUGGCCUACCAAGGCUUUGACGGGUAGCCGGCCUGAGAGGGUGACCGGUCACAGUGGGAAGGAGAUACGGCCCAGACUCGUACGGGAGGCAGCAGUGGGGAAUAUUGCACAAUGGGCGCAAGCCUGAUGCAGCGACGCCGCGUGAGGGAUGGAGGCCUUCGGGUUGUGAACCUCUUUCGCUCAUGGUCAAGCCGCAACAAUGGUUGUGGUGAGGGUAGUGGGUAAAGAAGCGCCGGCUAACUACGUG